CCUACGGGUGGCAGCAGUGAGGAAUAUUGGUCAAUGGACGCAAGUCUGAACCAGCCAUGCCGCGUGCAGGAAGACGGCUCUAUGAGUUGUAAACUGCUUUUGUACGGGGGUAAACGCAGAUACGCGUAUCUGUCUGCAAGUAUCUUACGAAUAAGGAUCGGCUAACUCCGUGCCAGCAGCCGCGGUAAUACGGAGGAUUCAAGCGUUAUCCGGAUUUAUUGGGUUUAAAGGGUGCGUAGGCGGUCGGAUAAGUCAGAGGUGAAAUCCCGGGGCUCAACUUCGGAAUUGCAUCUGAUACUGGUAGGCGAGAGAGUAGUUGCGGUAGGCGGAAUGUAUGGUGUAGCGGUGAAAUGCUUAGAGAUCAUACAGAACACCGAUUGCGAAGGCAGCCUACCAAGCUACUUCUGACGUUGAGGCACGAAAGCGUGGGGAGCAAACAGGAUUAGAUACCCGAGUAGUC
This 460-nucleotide ribosomal RNA is filed under the name uncultured bacterium. RNAcentral's name for it is "partial 16S ribosomal RNA". It matches the Rfam family "Bacterial small subunit ribosomal RNA", at positions 338 to 795 of the family's 1533-position model. The record is from RNAcentral.